This is a long non-coding RNA of Quercus lobata, 1919 nucleotides long. RefSeq lists it as uncharacterized. The transcript is spliced from 3 exons. The record is from RefSeq and is a predicted model, not a curated record. Lineage: Eukaryota; Viridiplantae; Streptophyta; Magnoliopsida; Fagales; Fagaceae.
GCUGGUCUUCCGAAAUUGAACAAGCUAAAUAACUUGAGAGGAGAACUAAGUAUUACAAUUAAGGUACGGGUGAAAGAUGCCACCUCUAAAGCCAAGGCUGCGAAUUUGAAGGAUAAGCAGCAUCUUAGAAAAUUGGAAUUAAUAUGGGAUGAUGAGCUGGGUAACGAUGUCGCAGGUGUUUGUGAAGAUGAAAAUUUAAUGGAAGGCCUCUAGCCACACCAGAAUUUAAAGAUGUUGAAUGUGAAAGGGUACCAGGGUGUGAGAUUUCCGAGUUGGCUUCCUUCGCUAACUGGUCUUGUGAUAUUAGAAAUAUCAAAAUCAAUGUGCCAACAUCUAUCGCCAAUGUAUCAACUCUUAAAUCUCCAAAAUCUAUCUCUUAAAGAUAUGGAUGGUCUGGAAUACAUAUCAGACCGAGAAACCACUGAAGAGAUCUCUGCUUCAUCAUCAUUUUUCCCAACCCUAGAGUCACUCAAAUUGUGGAAUUGCCCUAAUCUAAAGGGGUGGUGGAGGAGGGAUACUGUGGGUGUGGCAACAUCAAGUCAUCAAUGCCAGCCGCAUGUAUCAUUGCCUUCUUUUCCACGUCUUUUACUAUUGGAAAUUAGUGGUUGCAAAAUCCUGACUUACAUGCCGUUGUUUCCAAAUCUUGAAGAACGGCUACGACUGACAUUUUCCAGUUGCAAUCCAUUGCAACAAAUAAUGAAUAUGACAGCAAUCUCUUCGGUUCCCUCUGCUUCGAACUCCUCCCCUCCUCCCUCCAAAUUAAAGUUUCUAUCUUUGUCUUGGAUUCGGGACGUAGAGUUUCUGCCAGAGCAGUGGUUGCAAAACCUGGCUUCUCUCGAGGAGCUAGUGAUAGAAGGAUGCAAUAGACUAAAAUCUCUAUCUCUGUCUCUAUUUAUGCAACAUCUCACCUCCCUCAAGACACUGUCUAUUAGCAACUGCGAGGAGGUUGAUCUGUCCAGUGAUGAAGACGCACAAUCUGUUGGUGUCAGCCCUCUGUAAUGCCUCACAAUUUCUUAUGUUCCCCGCUUGGUUACUCUACCAUUGUGGAUAGGCAACCUUACAUCACAUCUUCAAAUUCAGAAUUGCCUUAAUCUCGUAUCACUUUCUGAGGAGAUUGGCAACCUUACGGUACUUGAAAACCUAAAAAUUUUCAAUUGCCCCAAUCUCAAAUCACUUCCAGAAGGGAUUGGCAACCUUACUGCACUUCAAAUACUUGAAAUCCGCAACUGCAACUUUCUCAGUUCACUCCCCGAAGGGAUUGGCAACCUUACUACACUUCAGAAACUCGAAAUUUCCUAUUUGCCCAAUCUGAUAUCACUCCCUGAAGGGAUUGGAAGUCUCACAGCACUUCAAAAACUUGAAAUUAUCAGAUGCCCCAAUCUGACAUUACUUCCAUCUGGAAUGCAUCGGCUUUCCUCUUUACAAACUCUGAUAAUAAUUAAGUGUCCCCACUUGAAAGAAAGAUACCAAAAGGGAAUUGGCGAGAUUGCUCAUGUCCCAGAUUUUCAAUAUCUUGACCCUUUUUUUUAAGGAUUAAAUUCUUUUUCGGCAACCAAUAUACUUGGGCUUCUUUGGAUUUAUUCAAAACACUGUACAAACAACUGAAAGGAUGCCAAGAAAACAUGGGACAAUUGCCUAAAAUUGCUCACUGAUGAACCCAAUUCUUGGAAGGGUCUGGAUGCCAUGGGUACCACUGCUCUCAUAUGCAAAAGCAAUUGAAUCAUAGAAAAAGUCCUAAUGUUGUACUUUUUUCUGUUUAAAAACUUUUGGGCACCGCAAUUGUGCGAAAAGUCGACAACUAGGAGGUGAGUACCUUCUUUUUCUUUUGUUUUCUUCUCUCACAAAAUUUGUCAUUUGAGAUAAUGACCUCUUGCCAUACCAGUAGGGGAAAAGAAGAAAUUAAGGCAGAUAUAUAAACC